Molecule: long non-coding RNA, 931 nt
Filed under: Panax ginseng (ginseng)
Lineage: Eukaryota; Viridiplantae; Streptophyta; Magnoliopsida; Apiales; Araliaceae
Description: long non-coding RNA (PGIN_LNC018374)
Source: RNAcentral
UUUGUUACAGAAUGAACAAAUAUAGUGUGUUGAGUGUAUGUUCUGGGAGUCACUUCUCAAAUAACUAAAAAAUCCCUGAACUUUAGUCAAUUUCUACCAUGGCCCUAGACAUAACAAAUUGUUUCUAGUCUGUUGAGUGUAUGUUCUGUAGGUUAUGUUAGUAUGAGGCUAUUGUUUGUUCCUUUCCUUCACAAAUUAUAGUAGUAUCUGUUUUUAGUGUGUUCUGUAGGUUAUGUUAUCUAAUUUUUUGAGGCUAUUGUUUUGUUUUUAAAAAUUUCCUAACCUAUCCUCGUUGGUACAAAGGUUUUAGUAGUUGAAAAUCAUUGGUAUAUCUAACAUCUAGAUAUUGAAAAGUUACAUUUUGGCAACGUGAGAUGACAGGAUUUUGUUUUCAAUUUUUAAUUGCACUUCUUUUGGUCUGAUGGUUAUAAACAUAACUAUAUCUGUUUCUGCAUUUAGUUUAUAUUGUAAUAUACAUUGAUACCAUUUUCUUUCUAUAAUGAACUAUUACUUAUACCUUUGCAGAUUGGGAAUUUCCUUGCAAACAAUUUGCACAGGAACUGGCCUCGUGACUUAUAUGAAAGGAUUGCUCGAAGCUUGUGAUGUAAAUAUUGUAUCAUGCGUGGCUCCUGUCAAAUCUGGUCAAGCCUGUUCCUUUUGGCCUAGUUGUGGGCGGGUGAGUUACUUAGGAAAGACACUUUUGUUCUUCAGUUAAAUGUUCUCCCCACUGCGAUGCUAUGUAUAGCGGAGAAUAGAGUUGUAUUUGUCACACCACUUGUAUUGAAGGCUGGUGCUUUAUGCAUUAAUGUUGUGUAUCCUGAUGUUCUUUUAACUUGUAGCAAUGGAUACCAGAUCAACCCUGUACGUCUCAAGUGAAAUUCUUCUUUCAUUUCAUGUGAUAAUAAAAGCAUGGGAAAUUAUUUGAAAACUC